AAAGAAACUAACAAGGAUUCCCCUAGUAACGGCGAGUGAAGCGGGAAGAGCUCAAAUUUGAAAGCUGGCGUCUUCGGCGUCCGCAUUGUAAUCUCGAGAGUUGUUUUCCGUGCUGGACCAUGUACAAGUUCCUUGGAAUAGGACGUCAUAGAGGGUGAGAAUCCCGUACUUGACAUGGCUGCCCAGUGCUUUGUGAUACAACCUCAACGAGUCGAGUUGUUUGGGAAUGCAGCUCAAAAUGGGUGGUAAAUUCCAUCUAAAGCUAAAUAUUGGGGAGAGACCGAUAGCGAACAAGUACCGUGAGGGAAAGAUGAAAAGCACUUUGGAAAGAGAGUUAAACAGUACGUGAAAUUGUCAAAAGGGAAGCGCUUGAAGUUAGUUAUGCUUGCUGGGACUCAGCCUUGCUUUUGCUUGGUGCAUUUCCCAGUAUGCAGGUCAGCAUCGGUUUUGUCUGCUGGAUAAGGGUAAAAGGAACGUGGCACCCUCGGGUGUGUUAUAGCCUUCUACUGGAUACAGCGGACGGGACCGAGG
This 531-nucleotide ribosomal RNA is filed under the name Tilletiopsis sp. ST12.14/513. RNAcentral describes it as "eukaryotic LSU rRNA". It matches the Rfam family "Eukaryotic large subunit ribosomal RNA", at positions 58 to 591 of the family's 3401-position model. Lineage: Eukaryota; Fungi; Basidiomycota; Exobasidiomycetes; Entylomatales. The record is from RNAcentral.